CCUCCUGUACCUCGCCAGGUAUUCGAUGGUCAGCCAAUGACAAUGCAGGUAGGAAUUUCAAACUGGAAGAGAGGUUUUUCUCUCUUCUGGGCUUGAGGCAGACCAGUCUUUUUCCAAGACUGAGGGAGAUUGGAGAAAACAGACUUCUUAAAAUGUGUGGUGGUGAAUUGAAUCAAGACUACGUACCAUGCAUUGGAAUUAAAGGUGUGUAAACUCAAAAGAAGCAGCAUCCUAUUCACUAGUUAUUGGACUCGAGCCUCCUUUAACUUCGAAAACUGAAAAUGAGGUUGCUAUGGGAACUGCUCAUGCUGCAAUCAUUCAUGUUGGGCCUUGCAGGUAAAGUGUCACUUUAAAACUUUUUGAUUUAAAAAUGUCUCUGUAUUUUGCACUAAUUCAAAAGUACAGCGAGUUUUGUAUGCCCGUGAUAAAAGUUAG
Non-coding RNA from Pelodiscus sinensis (Chinese soft-shelled turtle), 435 nucleotides. The record is from RefSeq and is a predicted model, not a curated record. NCBI's taxonomy places the organism in Eukaryota, Metazoa, Chordata, Testudines, Trionychidae.